Molecule: long non-coding RNA, 359 nt
Organism: Solea solea (common sole)
Lineage: Eukaryota; Metazoa; Chordata; Actinopteri; Pleuronectiformes; Soleidae
Exons: 3
Source: RefSeq, a predicted model, not a curated record
UUACUCUCUCAGUCAGGCUUAUGUGUGUGUCCAUUUAGAGCAGUGAUGUUACUGUGGCCAGACAAGAUGACACGUCUUCAAAGUGUCUUGUGCUACGAAAGGCCCAACAAGCCAAACAGCAACGAUGUGAGUCCAGUUGUCUGUUAAUUCAUGUCAUUACUCAGGAGGAAGGCGUGCUGCAAUACCUUAAGAAAAUCAUCAGAGGCAACAUUGUGUCUCCCUGGGCCAAGAAGGAGGACAGGGUCUUCAUUCUUUUUGAAGAUGAUGACCAAGUGGACCAGGUGAUGCACUUCUUGUCUGGAGUGGUUGAAAGUCCACAGACAGAUAAGAAGUCUGCAGAGCCUGUGGCUUUAAUCAUA